This is a long non-coding RNA of Mauremys mutica (yellowpond turtle), 336 nucleotides long. RefSeq lists it as uncharacterized. The record is from RefSeq and is a predicted model, not a curated record. The transcript is spliced from 3 exons. NCBI's taxonomy places the organism in Eukaryota, Metazoa, Chordata, Testudines, Geoemydidae.
UAGGGACAAAAAGGGAUAGACCCAGCUAUUUGCCUGAAGAAUGUUCCUCAGACCCCAUUUAUGGCAAGAAUUCAGAACAACAUGCAAGAAUCUAAAAACAGAGGGAAAGAAAAACAGGCUGCUCCCUACUGCAGGGAGGCACAACUCACCCCACCUUGCUUUAAAUUGGGAAACUGAGGCACAAAAAGGUGAAGCGACUUGCCCAAGCUCAGAACCAUGGCUGAGCUAGGAAUAGAAUCCAGGUCUCAAUUCUACUCCAGUGCUUUAUCUACCAGGUUACACCCACUGAAGCAUUAGUAUUAAGUGUUUACUGGGAAAAACAAAACAACACACACA